Molecule: ribosomal RNA, 441 nt
Filed under: Agrobacterium sp.
Lineage: Bacteria; Pseudomonadati; Pseudomonadota; Alphaproteobacteria; Hyphomicrobiales; Rhizobiaceae
Description: bacterial SSU rRNA
Rfam family: Bacterial small subunit ribosomal RNA
Source: RNAcentral
GCUCAGAACGAACGCUGGCGGCAGGCUUAACACAUGCAAGUCGAACGCAUCGCAAGAUGAGUGGCAGACGGGUGAGUAACGCGUGGGAACAUACCCUUUUCUACGGAAUAGCUCUGGGAAACUGGAAUUAAUACCGUAUACGCCCUACGGGGGAAAGAUUUAUCGGGGAAGGAUUGGCCCGCGUUGGAUUAGCUAGUUGGUGGGGUAAAGGCCUACCAAGGCGACGAUCCAUAGCUGGUCUGAGAGGAUGAUCAGCCACAUUGGGACUGAGACACGGCCCAAACUCCUACGGGAGGCAGCAGUGGGGAAUAUUGGACAAUGGGCGCAAGCCUGAUCCAGCCAUGCCGCGUGAGUGAUGAAGGCCUUAGGGUUGUAAAGCUCUUUCACCGAUGAAGAUAAUGACGGUAGUCGGAGAAGAAGCCCCGGCUAACUUCGUGCCAG